CCUACGGGUGGGCUGCAGUGGGGAAUAUUGGGCAAUGGGGGAAACCCUGACCCAGCGACGCCGCGUGAGGGAAGAAGGCCUUAGGGUCGUCAACCUCUGUUGUGUGGGAAGAAGAGCGUGACGGUACCACACGAGGAAGUCCCGGCUAACUACGUGCCAGCAGCCGCGGUCAUACGUAGGGGCCGAGCGUUGUCCGGAUUUACUGGGCGUCAAGGGCGCGUAGGCGGUCAUUUAAGUCAGCGGUGAAAUGGUUUGGCUUAACCGGAUCAUGCGGUUGAAACUGGAUGACUGGAGUGCUGGAGAGGCAAGUGGAAUUCCCAGUGUAGCGGUGAAAUGCGUAGAUAUUGGGAAGAACACCGGUGGCGAAGGCGACUUGCUGGCCAGCAACUGACGCUGAGGCGCGAAAGCCAGGGGAGCAAACG
RNAcentral lists this ribosomal RNA (422 nucleotides) under uncultured prokaryote. Its description in RNAcentral is "bacterial SSU rRNA". It matches the Rfam family "Bacterial small subunit ribosomal RNA", at positions 338 to 774 of the family's 1533-position model. The record is from RNAcentral.